Molecule: long non-coding RNA, 705 nt
Organism: Hippopotamus amphibius kiboko
Lineage: Eukaryota; Metazoa; Chordata; Mammalia; Artiodactyla; Hippopotamidae
Exons: 3
Source: RefSeq, a predicted model, not a curated record
CACAGCUCUGAGUCUCUUUGUCUAGAAAGUGAGAAUAAACCCCAGCCCUACAGUUACAGGAGGAUCCUCAGCACAGUGCAGCACACAGGAGUCCCCGCUCGGCAGUUCCUUCUGCUUCUGGCCGCACGUAUUAACUCACCGAAUCCGCAAAAACAGCCUGGAGAGAGGUUACAAAUGAGGACAUUGAGGUGCCAAGUUUCAUCUGUUUGUGACAGGGGCAGGAGAGAUGACCCAACCCAGAGUUGCUGUUCCUCACACCCAGAUGGAUACGUUCUCAUUUUACACAGGGGGAGCUAGCUCAGCUACUCGGAUGCAGAAGCCAUGUGAUCUUCUUAAGGGAACCACUGAAAGAAACCGCCCACCCUGGCCAGAUCCUAUAGUAACCAUUUGCAUGAGUUACCUCACAACAGGAGGUCCUGGUAAGGAACACUGAACUAACAAGCUAUCACCAACUACAACUCAGAAAAGGUCAAUGUGUCCUACUAACCUCCCAGAAUCCUUCUCGCUGGAAUCCAUCUUGGCUGGUUGACGUGCACGCCACUAGGAAACACCCUGAGUGAGGAAUGAUUGGCCAGACACAACCCGGAAACUAACCCCAUCACCAUAAAACCUGAAACUGUGAGCACAUGGCAGAGCAAUCCUCCUGGGGGAUCUCCUGGGCUCCCUUACCCUCCUGCUCUCCGCCCAGGGAAUCCCUUCCCAAUA